CUCACUUGUGCUGGAUACAUUUGAAGGCUCUGUAUUUUGAGUGAGUCAUUCUUCGAGACAACACCUAAGAAACAUGGAACAUUUACUCAAUGACAACCUUCUGAAAUAUUUUACUCAAUAUGCCUUAAUGGAGGGUAGCACUAGUGCUCUGUCCAUUGGUGGGCUGAAAAAUCUGCUCCAGAAUCAAUUUUCACAGUACUUGAAGGAUUCAUUCUCACUUGACAACGUAAUUAAGUUGUUGGACAAAAAUAAUGAUGGAAGCAUCAGCUUCGACGAGUUUGUGAUGCUAAUAAAAAAGAUCACAGGACAAUAAAGCAUCUGCCAG
Molecule: long non-coding RNA, 325 nt
Organism: Tympanuchus pallidicinctus (lesser prairie-chicken)
Lineage: Eukaryota; Metazoa; Chordata; Aves; Galliformes; Phasianidae
Exons: 3
Source: RefSeq, a predicted model, not a curated record